GAGACUUUGUCCCAUUUUUACCUUCAUUUGUCCUCUCUGCACUGGUCUUCCCUUUGGACUAUAGGUCCCUUAAGCCUGCCCCAGCCUAAACCACCACCACAAACAGAAAUUCCAUCACGCUGCUUUUCCCCUUCACGCUGCAUCUCUCUCUUCCCAGUGAUCUACCCCAGCCUGCCAUCGGAUUUACCUUCCUCAUAUCCCACUCCAUCAUUCAACUCCACUGCUCCAAAGGGCUUCCCCGUUACAUGAGGUCCACACUCCGAAGCCUGGCUCAGGCCCUCUGAGACCUUCUCAGCCCACUUAUAUCAUCUUUUCAUCAUCCUUAUGUCCUUGUUUCUUGAACCCAAAGAAAGACCUACAGACUGAAAUGGGAAGCCAGUGAGGAGAAUGCUGGACAGAUAUUUCCAGGCUCCAAAGCUGAAGAAAUCUGCUGCAAGCCCAAAGGACUUCUUUGCAUUCACUCAGGAUUCCCGCAUGUUACCACCUUGAAGCGC
This 494-nucleotide long non-coding RNA is filed under the name Equus asinus (donkey). RNAcentral describes it as "lncRNA (ENSEASG00005028575.1)". The record is from RNAcentral. Lineage: Eukaryota; Metazoa; Chordata; Mammalia; Perissodactyla; Equidae.